This 490-nucleotide ribosomal RNA is filed under the name uncultured bacterium. RNAcentral describes it as "partial 16S ribosomal RNA". It matches the Rfam family "Bacterial small subunit ribosomal RNA", at positions 30 to 507 of the family's 1533-position model. The record is from RNAcentral.
AUUGAACGCUGGCGGCAGGCCUAACACAUGCAAGUCGAACGGUAACAGGAAGAAGCUUGCUUCUUUGCUGACGAGUGGCGGACGGGUGAGUAAUGUCUGGGAAACUUCCUGAUGGAGGGGGAUAACUACUGGAAACGGUAGCUAAUACCGCAUAACGUCGCAAGACCAAAGAGGGGGACCUUCGGGCCUCUUGCCCUCGGAUGUGCCCAGAUGGGAUUAGCUAGUAGGUGGGGUAAAGGCUCACCUAGGCGACGAUCCCUAGCUGGUCUGAGAGGAUGACCAGCCACACUGGAACUGAGACACGGUCCAGACUCCUACGGGAGGCAGCAGUGGGGAAUAUUGCACAAUGGGCGCAAGCCUGAUGCAGCCAUGCCGCGUGUAUGAAGAAGGCCUUCGGGUUGUAAAGUACUUUCAGCGGGGAGGAAGGGAGUAAAGUUAAUACCUUGGCUCAUUGACGUUACCCGCAGAAGAAGCACCGGCUAACUCCGUG